This 526-nucleotide ribosomal RNA is filed under the name Staphylococcus aureus. RNAcentral's name for it is "bacterial SSU rRNA". It matches the Rfam family "Bacterial small subunit ribosomal RNA", at positions 220 to 738 of the family's 1533-position model. Lineage: Bacteria; Bacillati; Bacillota; Bacilli; Caryophanales; Staphylococcaceae. The record is from RNAcentral.
UAUAGAUGGAUCCGCGCUGCAUUAGCUAGUUGGUAAGGUAACGGCUUACCAAGGCAACGAUGCAUAGCCGACCUGAGAGGGUGAUCGGCCACACUGGAACUGAGACACGGUCCAGACUCCUACGGGAGGCAGCAGUAGGGAAUCUUCCGCAAUGGGCGAAAGCCUGACGGAGCAACGCCGCGUGAGUGAUGAAGGUCUUCGGAUCGUAAAACUCUGUUAUUAGGGAAGAACAUAUGUGUAAGUAACUGUGCACAUCUUGACGGUACCUAAUCAGAAAGCCACGGCUAACUACGUGCCAGCAGCCGCGGUAAUACGUAGGUGGCAAGCGUUAUCCGGAAUUAUUGGGCGUAAAGCGCGCGUAGGCGGUUUUUUAAGUCUGAUGUGAAAGCCCACGGCUCAACCGUGGAGGGUCAUUGGAAACUGGAAAACUUGAGUGCAGAAGAGGAAAGUGGAAUUCCAUGUGUAGCGGUGAAAUGCGCAGAGAUAUGGAGGAACACCAGUGGCGAAGGCGACUUUCUGGUCUGUA